UACGUAGGGUGCAAGCGUUGUCCGGAUUUAUUGGGCGUAAAGAGCUCGUAGGCGGCUUGUCGCGUCGACCGUGAAAACUCGCAGCUCAACUGCGAGCCUGCGGUCGAUACGGGCAGGCUAGAGUUCGGUAGGGGAGACUGGAAUUCCAGGUGUAGCGGUGAAAUGCGUAGAUAUCUGGAGGAACACCGGUGGCGAAGGCGGCAUCCUGGACCAACACUGACACUGAGGAGCGAAAGCCAGGGGAGCAAACGGG
RNAcentral lists this ribosomal RNA (253 nucleotides) under uncultured bacterium. RNAcentral describes it as "partial 16S ribosomal RNA". It matches the Rfam family "Bacterial small subunit ribosomal RNA", at positions 524 to 776 of the family's 1533-position model. The record is from RNAcentral.